GACGAACGCUGGCGGCGUGCCUAAUACAUGCAAGUCGAACGCACAGUUUAUACCGUAGCUUGCUACACCAUAGACUGUGAGUUGCGAACGGGUGAGUAACGCGUAGGUAACCUGCCUGGUAGCGGGGGAUAACUAUUGGAAACGAUAGCUAAUACCGCAUAAUAUUAAUUAUUGCAUGAUAAUUAAUUGAAAGGUGCAAUUGCACCACUACCAGAUGGACCUGCGUUGUAUUAGCUAGUAGGUGAGGUAACGGCUCACCUAGGCGACGAUACAUAGCCGACCUGAGAGGGUGAUAGGCCACACUGGGACUGUGACACGGCCCAGACUCCUACGGGGGGCAGCAGUAGGGAAUCUUCGGCAAUGGACGAAAGUCUGACCGAGCAACGCCGCGUGAGUGAAGAAGGUUUUCGGAUCGUAAAGCUCUGUUGUAAGAGAAGAACGGGUGUGAGAGUGUAAAGUUCACACUGUGACGGUAUCUUACCAGAAAGGGACGGCUAACUACGUG
Molecule: ribosomal RNA, 505 nt
Filed under: uncultured bacterium
Lineage: Bacteria
Description: partial 16S ribosomal RNA
Rfam family: Bacterial small subunit ribosomal RNA
Source: RNAcentral